CCACAAAUAAGCUUUCUUGUAAGCUCUCUUCCUAACAGGGCACAUAUUCUUCCAUAAUAUAAACACUUUUCUGCCCCAUCUCCCAUACUUUUGAAGGUCAGUUCUAUGACAGUGAAUUUUGCACAGGAGAAGCAGCUACCUGAUUUCUUACUUUCUCUCUCCUUGUCAUGGAGAAUACAGAAACACUGUCUGAAAGGGCUCUAAAGAAGGAACUACCAAAACCUCAUUUGAAAUGCCAUUUCUUUUAACCUUCCACAUCCUGAAUGUUUCCUUCCAGGCAUUUUAAUAAACUUAUUUGCUUCUGGUUUUGGGAGUUCAUAAGAGAGACUAGAACAAAGUACAGGACAUCAAAUAUUAGCCAUUUCCCAUUUUAUUUUAUUUUUCUAUGUAUGUUCAUGAUCCAUGUUCAUUUAUUUAAGAAUACAUUUUUAUUGGUAAGCUUAUAGAGCUAUACUUAUGGAAUUUUUAAGUAGGAAAAUAAAUGGUUAAGACAAAAUAGUGUUAUAGCUUUCAUUCUCUGAAUAGGCCAUCUUUGACUCAUAAAAUUAUACUUACUGUUUAUUAUAACUUCAGAAGUAAUUUAUAGUUCUGAACCUCUAGUAUCUUUUACCCUGUUCCCAAGCGAAGACUGGUGACUUUAUCUGAAAAUGAUUCCUCUUCCCAUGACCUAAAACACUGUGAGGAAAAAUCAUUCAAGUGGCAUGCCAAGUCCCCAUGAAGGAAGGGCUGCUGUCAAACCUAACUUUUUUGAGCAGACUGAGACUAAACUUCUGUCUUUUCAAAAUUGUGUUAUCUUCCUUAAUCCUAUUUUCAUAAUUUUUCCUUUUGCCAGUUUUUCACAUUAUCUUUGAUAUGUGAGCAACAUUUAUUAUUUACAUUAGAGUAUACCUUUUAGUAAUAACAUGACUUGAAAUCAUGUUAUUUUUAAAAGCCUCCUUUGCUUCUUUCAUUACUUAUAAUCUUCUCUAAAACAAACUCUGCAUUUUUUUUAAUAAAGCACUUUCUGUCAAAUAAUGGACUUUUUUCUAAACAGAAAUUAUUUUCUAUUUACAAACUGAUGAUUUCACUUUAAAAAAAAAUUUUUUUUUUUUAUUAUCAGAGUACUUAGUAAAUGUUAUAUAGUUAAGUUCUAAGAUAGUUCCAGGGAUUAAAAGGUUAAGAGGAAAACACAAAUCACCAAAUUUCUGAUUUAUGUUUUUAUCUCCUGAACAGUAUUUUUUCACUCGUAUUCCUCUAUCUCAUCACUUAGCUAAAGACAGCCUAAAUUUCCCAAUUUUCUGUCAUUUGUGAUUUACUUGUAUAUAAGCCUUCUCAUUUGCCAUGUGCUGUGAUCUUACAAGUUAGAUGUUACUGUACCUACCAUUUAUUCAGCUGGAUUGCUGAACACUGUUCCGGAUUCUUAGAAUUAAGAUUAUCUUGUUAGUGCCCAAGAUUUCCACGCUUUGUGUUUUAUUGGCCCUUCUCUUGAUUCAGCACCUUAACCGAUUUUCAGUCUUCUGGCACAUAAUUUUUUUCACAGCUAUUAUUCUAUUAACAAAUUAUUUGUAUCUUUCCUAGUACAUUUUCACUUAGUUCUCUUGCCUUUAAAUAUCUUUCACAUGCAUUUUAGGAUAUUCCUUUCAAAUAUUUGUAGGACAACUUUGAAUCAAAAUAAAUUAUAUUCCUUCUCCAGUUUGAAGCAUUGAGGGUAAAUAACCAUUUGAGGUCUAACGGAUCUUUUCCUGCCAGAAGAGUGAUCUUACGUUCUGCUAUAUUUGUAUUUGGGCCAGUUGAUUGUAGGUUUUCCAACAUUUUUUAAUAUUGGGAAAAUUAUAAUAAAAUGCUUUAAAAAUUAAUAUGCCAGAUUAAAAUAACUGAAUAGUUUAUUUCAUUCAAGCAUGUUUAAAACAAAUAAUUUCCUUUCACCAGUUUUUCUUAGUAAACUCCUGAAAAAGUAGGAAAGGUGGAGAGUAUAUAUCAUUUUAAUAAAUUUUAAAUUAAAUUGUACAUCAGACUGUUAAAAUCUGUAAUAUACAAGCAAGCAAAAUUAAGUUAAUUACUUAUAUGCUAAUACUCAUCUGAUAAUAAAUGUUUCUUAAAGUUGACAUUUAACUGCUAUCACAAAAUUUUACAUGUAGAAAAGCAGGUCUUUUGAAUAAAAGAUCAUUCAACUAAAAAUAUUAAAAUUUAUUUCACUGGAUGGUAAUGUAACUUUAAAAGCAUCAUAAUAGGUAAAGUCUAAUAUUAGUUCCCUUAACAAAAUCCUAACUGUAUACCAGAAUUAGGUCACUGAAAGAACUUGAUUUGAAUUACGUUUAGACAAAAAUUACUUAAUUGUAAAUUCUUAAAACUUUCCAAAUGCAUAAUUGGCAAAAAAAUAAAUAAAUAAAUAAAUAAAAAACACUGUUACCCGUGUAGGAAGUUACGAGAAGGCACAUACUGAAUGCCGAAAUAUACAUAUGCUCUUUCUUUAAACUGAGAACAACCAUAUGAGCAUUGUAAUUAAUAUUCCCAUUUUACAGAUGAGGAAAUUGAAGCUAAGAGAAACUAAGUAAUAUGCCCAAGGUCCAUAUCUAGUAAUAGACAAAGCUGGGAUUUCAGUCGAUGUCUACCUCUCUCCACAUCUCUUUCAUCCAUACCACACUGCCUAUAUGCCAUAUGACAGGAUGUGUUACGGGCUAACAUUUAUUUUAAAAAUUCAGGCCAGGCACAGUGGCUUACGCCUAUAAUCCCAGCACUUUGGGAGGCCGAGCCAGGUGGAUCACAAGGUCAGGAGUUCAAGACCAGCCUGGCCAAAAUGGUGAAACUCCAUCUCUACUAAAAAUAUUUUUUAAAAAUUAGCCAAGCGUGGUGGUGGGCACUUGUGGUCCCAGCUACUCAGGAGGGUGAGGCAGGAGAAUUGCUUGAACCCAAGAGGCAGCAGUUGCAGUGAGCUGAGAUCACGCCACUGCACUCCAGCCUGGGCGACAGAGUGAGACUCCAUCUCAAAAAAUAAAAAUAAAAAUUCAGUCACUAUACUCGCACAAUUGUCAUUUGUAUAUACACAAAUGACAAUUUAUAUAUACAAUUAUAUUUGUAUAUAUAAGGUAAGCCAAACCACAUACCUUAAUGAUUUGGGAAGUUAGGCAAAUAUAAGAUAUGUAGACAUAUCUAUGCUGAUUGUUGCUUGAGAAAUAAUUACUAAUUCAAGACAAAACUCAAUCCUGUAUCUCCCAUCAUGAAUCUUAAAAUCAUUUCACUUGAUUCCUAACAUUCUUAAAUUGCAGAACUAAUGGUAAGGUAAAUUUUAAGGAAAAAGUUAAGAUAGCUUUUGGGAACAGAGACCUUUCCCUAAACUGAUUCCAUAAUAGAUUUGGGGGAAUUAAUUUAACAGAGAAUUUCAGUUUCAUCAGUCCUUUGAAUCCAUCUUCAGGACUUCUGCUUUUAAUAACUUUAGAAAAUUUACUAAUCCAUAGAACUAAUUGAGUAGGCUAUAGGAAGGAUACAAGGAUAAUGUCUUUUUUAUAAAACAGUUUAGUAUAGCUUCUUUACAUGAAUCCAUUUGUUCCAGAAAAUGUGCAUUGGUUCUGAAUGUGAAAAUAUUUAAAGAGAGAAAGGAACACUUAAGUGUGGGCUUCAGUGGGAAUUUUCACAAAAAAAUUGGCAAGUUUUUUAAAAAAUUAUUUUCAAAUUUGACUUCUACAGCCAAAUGGAAUUGGUAGGCUGUAGCUGUUACACUGAAAUUUCCAGUCUUUUUAAGUGCCUCCUGAAAGCCAUUUAAAAUGGAAAAAUAUUUCAAUGAACUUUUCUUUUCCUUUUUUCAUAUUUAUGGACAUGAAUAUUUUAUUGGAGAUCAUUAACUACUAGAAUUUGAGAUUAUAUUUCUAUACAAUAUUUUUUAAAGUUAUGUUGAAUUUACUGCCUGUUAUGUGCAGGUUAUUAUGUAACUAUUCACAGAUUGCUUCAUACAUUGCUUUAUCUUCCCAGCUAACUUAUUAAAGUUAGAAUCUGUACACACAUAUUGAUUAUCUAGACCAGUCAUUCUAGAAAUUGUAACACUCCCACAUAAACGCCAGAAGACUUUUUCAGAAUGCAAUGUUUUCUAAAUAUACUGUUUACUGGCAGUUUACUCUUCAGCAUAUAAGGUUGCAUUUUAACUUUUAGAUUAUGAACUGUGCAAACUUUACCCAAAACUACCUUGCAUGAUUCCCUCCUAAAUAUGUUCCUUGAUUAAGUAAAUCUGGCAAAUCACUGUUUGAGCUAGUUACAUAAAAUUUGUUGUCAAGAGAAGGCCUUUCUACAAGUUUCCAGAUUAACAAAGAAAAGAGGAAAUCAGGGCAUUUAAGUGCACCUUCCCAUUACUUUCCUUAAAUCACCUCAUAGGCCGGGCGCAGUGGCUGACGCCUGUAAUCCCAGCACUUUGGGAGGCCGAGGCGGGUGGAUCACGAGGUCAGGAGACUCAGACCAUCCUGGCUAACACGAACCCCAUCUCUACUAAAAAUACAAAUAAUUAGCCAGGCAUGGUGGCACGCGCCUGUAGUCCCAGCUACUCGGGAGGCAGAGAUAGGAGAACCGCUUGCACCAGGGAGGCGGAGGUUGCAGUGAGCCGAGAUCGCGCCAAUGCACUCCAACCUGGGCAACAGAGCAAGACUCCAUCGCAAAAAAAAAAAAAAAAA
This 4634-nucleotide long non-coding RNA is filed under the name Macaca fascicularis (crab-eating macaque). RNAcentral's name for it is "lncRNA (ENSMFAG00000052171.1)". Lineage: Eukaryota; Metazoa; Chordata; Mammalia; Primates; Cercopithecidae. The record is from RNAcentral.